GGGCCCGCACAAGCGGUGGAGCAUGUGGUUUAAUUCGAUGAUACGCGAGGAACCUUACCAGGGCUUAAAUGUAGUCUGACAGGCGUGGAAACAUGCUUUUCUUCGGACAGAUUACAAGGUGCUGCAUGGUUGUCGUCAGCUCGUGCCGUGAGGUGUCAGGUUAAGUCCUAUAACGAGCGCAACCCCUGUUGUUAGUUGCCAGCGAGUCAUGUCGGGAACUCUAACAAGACUGCCAGUGCAAACUGUGAGGAAGGUGGGGAUGACGUCAAAUCAUCACGGCCCUUACGUCCUGGGCCACACACGUGCUACAAUGGUAGGUACAGAGAGCAGCCACUGCGCGAGCAGGAGCGAAUCUAUAAAGCCGGUCUCAGUUCGGAUCGCAGUCUGCAACUCGACUGCGUG
This 402-nucleotide ribosomal RNA is filed under the name uncultured bacterium. RNAcentral describes it as "bacterial SSU rRNA". It matches the Rfam family "Bacterial small subunit ribosomal RNA", at positions 917 to 1322 of the family's 1533-position model. The record is from RNAcentral.